UGCCAGCAGCCGCGGUAAUACGAAGGGUGCUAGCGUUGUUCGGAAUUACUGGGCGUAAAGAGCAUGUAGGCGGUUCGUUAAGUCUGAUGUGAAAACUCAGGGCUCAACCCUGAGACGCCAUCCGAUACUGCAAUGACUAGAGUCCGGUAGGGGAGCAUGGAAUUCCUGGUGUAGCGGUGGAAUGCGCAGAUAUCAGGAGGAACACCAAUGGCGAAGGCAGUGCUCUGGGCCGGUACUGACGCUGAGGAGCGAAAGCAUGGGGAGCAAAUAGGAUUAGAUA
RNAcentral lists this ribosomal RNA (280 nucleotides) under uncultured bacterium. RNAcentral's name for it is "partial 16S ribosomal RNA". It matches the Rfam family "Bacterial small subunit ribosomal RNA", at positions 506 to 784 of the family's 1533-position model. The record is from RNAcentral.